CCAGACUCCUACGGGAGGCAGCAGUGGGGAAUAUUGCACAAUGGGGGGAACCCUGAUGCAGCGACGCCGCGUGGGUGAAGGAGCACCUCGGUGCGUAAAGCCCUAUCGGCAGGGAAGAAGGAGGACGGUACCUGACUAAGAAGCCCCGGCUAACUACGUGCCAGCAGCCGCGGUAAUACGUAGGGGGCAAGCGUUAUCCGGAUUUACUGGGUGUAAAGGGGGCGCAGACGGCAGCGCAAGCCAGGAGUGAAAGCCCGGGGCCCAACCCCGGGACUGCUCUUGGAACUGCGCGGCUGGAGUGCAGGAGGGGCAGGCGGAAUUCCUGGUGUAGCGGUGAAAUGCGUAGAUAUCAGGAGGAACACCAGUGGCGAAGGCGGCUUACUGGACUGUAACUGACGUUGAGGCUCGAAAGCGUGGGGAGCAAACAGGAUUAGAUACCCGAGUA
RNAcentral lists this ribosomal RNA (445 nucleotides) under uncultured bacterium. Its description in RNAcentral is "partial 16S ribosomal RNA". It matches the Rfam family "Bacterial small subunit ribosomal RNA", at positions 331 to 792 of the family's 1533-position model. The record is from RNAcentral.